Long non-coding RNA from Hyaena hyaena (striped hyena), 164 nucleotides. RefSeq lists it as uncharacterized. NCBI's taxonomy places the organism in Eukaryota, Metazoa, Chordata, Mammalia, Carnivora, Hyaenidae. The transcript has 3 exons. The record is from RefSeq and is a predicted model, not a curated record.
UGGGGAACCUCCGAUAAGGGCCAGAGCAGCGGGUCAGCUGUUAACAAGCAGCUGCAUGGCUCCCGCUUUUCUUAUAACCCAACUUUUGCAUUUGUGUUUCCCCAUGGAAACUUUUUUUUUUUUUUUAAUUUCGGAAGCACUAUGGCAAAACUGCUGAUUUUUAC